GUGCUCGCUUCGGCAGCACAUAUACUAAAAAAUUGGAAUGAUACAGAGAAGAUUAGCAUGGCCCCUGCGNCGCAAAUUUUUGAAGGCUUCCAAAAAAAA
Molecule: small nuclear RNA, 99 nt
Filed under: Panthera pardus (leopard)
Lineage: Eukaryota; Metazoa; Chordata; Mammalia; Carnivora; Felidae
Source: RNAcentral